GUACUCUGAAGAGAGAGUUAACAGUGCGUGAAACCGUUCAGAGGUAAACGGGUGUAGUCAAGCUGCGAGCCUAGAGAACUAGUCGGGCCAGAAUGGCGUGAGUCUGAGCACCUAGAGCUGGUGCACGAGUCCGGUAUAUUGCCGGGUGCGGGUCGCAAGGCUCGUAUUCGCGGUGCGUCAUGUUUCGUGGCGUUGCGAGCUAGUGUAUCCAGUUGCUCUGCUGGCCCGCUAAUUUUCCCAAGGUAUUAGUCACGACCGUCGUUGCUGUCGGUCUGCUUCGUCUAAACCGUUUCGUGAGUAGUCUUGUGCUUCUUGCGUUGCGGGGGCAGGUAGCCGGUCGGAUGUGCCCUCGGGUGCGUUCGGUUGGUGUAAUCUGGCUGGGCGGAGUGGUACCUGUAACUGUGCAGUGCGGCGGGGCUGGCGGUGCGUUGUGUCAGCUGGGUGCGGGUUAUGCGUUGGCGUGGCGUGGGUAUGGCUGCUUGUUGCUGUCUCUGACGGCCUUGCGGUUGCCCUGUCGCGGUUUGGCGUGUGCUCGUGUCUGGUCAAUCUUCGCGUUGUGCCUACAGUCUGUGGCAUAGUGGUAGACGAUCCACCCGACCCGUCUUGAAACACGGACCAAGGAGUUUAACUUGUACGCGAGUCAAUGGGCGUGCUUUUCAGCAUACGAAACCCAAAGGCGCAAUGAAAGUAAAGGGUGGCCAUUAGGUUGCCUGAGGUGAGAUCCGGCUGUCUCUUGCCCUGACUAGUCAGACAAAGGAGCAGUGGGCGCAUCACCGGCCCGUCCCAUGGUGUAGUGCGGCUCUCGGGUCGUGCAGCAUCGGGGCGGAGCUUGAGCGUACAGGUUGAGACCCGAAAGAUGGUGAACUAUGCUUGCACAGGUUGAAGCCGGAGGAAACUCUGGUGGAGGACCGUAGCGAUUCUGACGUGCAAAUCGAUCGUAUGAUGUGAGCAUAGGGGCGAAAGACUAAUCGAACCAUCUAGUAGCUGGUUCCCUCCGAAGUUUCCCUAAGAUAGCUGAGUCGGGUGGAUCGUCUACCACUAUGCCACAGACUGUAGGCACAACGCGGAGAUUGACCAGACACGAGCACACGCCAAACCGCGACAGGGCGACCGCAAGGCCGUCAGAGACAGCAACAAGCAGCCAUACCCACGCCACGCCCACGCAUAACCCGCACCCUGCUGACACAACGCACCGCC
RNAcentral lists this ribosomal RNA (1197 nucleotides) under Pseudobicotylophora lopezochoterenai. Its description in RNAcentral is "partial large subunit ribosomal RNA". It matches the Rfam family "Eukaryotic large subunit ribosomal RNA", at positions 371 to 1121 of the family's 3401-position model. The record is from RNAcentral. Lineage: Eukaryota; Metazoa; Platyhelminthes; Monogenea; Mazocraeidea; Discocotylidae.